CCUUUUUAAAAAUGUUUGCAGAUAUUUUUAAGUACAAUUGCUCUGUUAAACAAUAGGUUUGUUCUUCUUGCUUACACGAAAAGUGUAUAGUGUACACUUUUACUCCGUCCAAUUUUUGAGAGUGGGGGUAACGUCGUGUAAAUUCAGUGUAAAGUGUAAGCUUUUCAACGAGAACGCCGAAGUGUAACAUCAAGUGUUUAUAAAUACGACAGCUAUUUGUGCAUAGUGUUCAUAUUUAAAGUUUUAAUAAAAAAGUGGAAUUUUAUUGUUUAAAAUUUAUUAUUGGUUAUAUUGUUACAAUUAUCACAAAAUGAUGAAUGAAUUAAAUGUAGAAAUUCUUAAUCACAUUUUGGAGUCGGAGUCUGAAUCUGAUUUGUCAUCCGAUGAAGAGGAUUUUGACGAGAUUGUUCCUGAACCACCUGUUUUAUUUGCUGCAAAUAAUGAUGAAGACAUUGGACAAUUAUUAGAGCCAGUAUUAGGAGUUGUUUAAAGAGUACAUCACGUAAAAAUUUUAAAUUAUAUUGAAAAUGUUGUACAUUUAUACACUGAGAGUGAUUUCAUAAUGCACUUUCGCUUAUCACGAGAAGUGACCAAUGAAUUGAUCAAUCGUUUUGCAGCAUCUCAAAUUUUUUUGGCAUUACAAGCUUAUGCAGGCUACGAGCCUAUUUCUCCAGAGAAACAUAUCAUAAGUUUUCUUUGGUACGUUGGACAUGAAAGCAGUGGCUAUCGGGAUGUAGCAGAUAAAUUUGGGAUUACCAUAAGUGCGCUGUACAAUGUUAUAUCCCGGAUCACAAAUUUUUUAAUAUCUCUUGCACCAAAUGUCAUCAGAUUUCCUACAAUGCAA
Molecule: non-coding RNA, 844 nt
Organism: Nylanderia fulva
Lineage: Eukaryota; Metazoa; Arthropoda; Insecta; Hymenoptera; Formicidae
Source: RefSeq, a predicted model, not a curated record